AAUACAUAUAGAACAAAAGUUGUUUAGAAUAACGAGAGCUUUCAUUUAAAAUUAAGAAAAAAGGGCUGGCCCCUAUAAUUAGGGGUCAGCAGCUCAUACACGUAUUUUUCUGAUAGCAAAAAUCGUUAUCAUUUUAUGAAAAAAAAUUAAUUCAGUUAUUGUUAAUAUAUUAAAUAAUGUCAUUUGGUAUCAAAUUUAAAAAGUUCUGUGCCCUAUUUUUUUCAAAUUUCAUAAAACAAAUAUGUGUGAAUCGUAACGUUACAUGAACGAGUUAAUUUGUCUACAUAGACACACAAGCGAACAAAUGCCACUUUAAGGCCCAGGCAUAUACUGCAUUACGUUGUGUUGCGUCUUAGAUAAAUAGUUGUGAUUCAAUUUCAUUUUUUUCAUCUAUAUCAUUUAUGAAUUCAAUGAACACACAUUAUUUUAACGUUCUAUGUGCAACUAUUUGUCGGGGCGCCCCUGUUUGUAACCCCCGCGCGCGCGCCGAAUGUAAACAGUAACGAACGGCAUUGUAGAAAAGAGAGAGCCGUAAUGCAGAAGAGAAGUUGUGUAUUCUUUCGACGUACAAAUGCAUUUUCAAUUUACUGUGAAACAUAUGAACAUGCACAGGGAACAAUACUACAUAUUUGUUUAAGGAGGAUAUUUUUCUCGUGUGAAUCGUUUACGAGGAAAUUCUGACAGCCACACUUCUGUCGACGAUCAGCCGUUGAUAAGCUACGAGUAAUAAAGGGGAAAAGAUGGACAUUAAAGUGUGUGAUUUAUGUGGAUGUUACUGAAGAAGCUCAAAACAGACUCUUGUUACCACAUGGCUUUUACCGGUACCUGUUGAUUCUUGUGGGUCAGCUCCUGAGAUUAACCUGUCACCUCUAUCCACAUGCAUAUUCCUUGUGUUCUACAGACUAUUUACCGGUAAUUCAAAUUAAAUCCGAUAAUGCAUAAACAAUAAUGGAACUUGAAGAAAGCAUCAUGCCAUGUUGUGGUUUGUGUUUGAUAAGAAAUUAUGAAAACAAAAUUAAGGCUGUUUAUAAAGAAAUUCAUAAUUGCUGUGAAAAUUUGUUUUUCAAUAAAAGUAUGCAAUUAUG
Long non-coding RNA from Magallana angulata, 1085 nucleotides. RefSeq lists it as uncharacterized. The transcript is spliced from 2 exons. The record is from RefSeq and is a predicted model, not a curated record. NCBI's taxonomy places the organism in Eukaryota, Metazoa, Mollusca, Bivalvia, Ostreida, Ostreidae.